RNAcentral lists this ribosomal RNA (252 nucleotides) under uncultured bacterium. RNAcentral's name for it is "partial 16S ribosomal RNA". It matches the Rfam family "Bacterial small subunit ribosomal RNA", at positions 525 to 776 of the family's 1533-position model. The record is from RNAcentral.
ACGUAGGGUGCGAGCGUUAAUCGGAAUUACUGGGCGUAAAGCGUGCGCAGGCGGUUUUGUAAGUCAGAUGUGAAAUCCCCGAGCUUAACUUGGGAACUGCGUUUGAAACUACAAGACUAGAGUGUGUCAGAGGGGGGUAGAAUUCCACGUGUAGCAGUGAAAUGCGUAGAGAUGUGGAGGAAUAUCAAUGGCGAAGGCAGCCCCCUGGGAUAACACUGACGCUCAUGCACGAAAGCGUGGGGAGCGAACAGG